CUGUGCUUUCUAUUCUUCUCUCCUAAUAAACACUUUACUUGCCUCAAUACUUUUCAUCUCUUUGCUGAUUCUUUCUUCAAAGCAGAUGACAGCCAGGGCCCUGCUCCUAGCCAAUAGUCCCUGGUGGUCUAGUGGUUAGAAUUCGGUGCUUUCACUGCUGUGGUCCGGGUUCAAUUCCCAGGGAACUGAGAUCCCACUUCAAGCUGCCGCUCACUGUGGUCGCUCACAGCCACCUGAGAUCAGGGCCUUUAGACUCAGACUGAAUCACACACCAGCUUUCCUGGUUCCCAGCUUGCAGAUGGCAGACUAUGGGACUUCUUGGCUUCCGUCACUGCUUCCUAAUGUGUGUGCAGUGGUGUCUCGUGGGUUUGAUUUGCGUUUCCCUGAUGACCAUCUUGAGUAUCUUUUCAUGUGCCUAUUGCCCAUUUGUAUGUCUCCUCUGGAGAAAUGCCUAUUCAAGGCCUCUGCACACUUUUAACUGGGCUGCUUGUCUUUUUCUUGCUCAGUUGAAGGGGAUCCUUAUAUAUUCCGAAUAUAAACCCCUAAUCAGAAACAUGGUUUGCAAAUAUUUUCUCCCAUUUUGUGAAUUGCUGUUUCACUGUUGAUUGGUUAUCCUUUGAUGAAAAAAUUCUUAAAUUUUGAUG
Non-coding RNA from Delphinapterus leucas (beluga whale), 644 nucleotides. NCBI's taxonomy places the organism in Eukaryota, Metazoa, Chordata, Mammalia, Artiodactyla, Monodontidae. The record is from RefSeq and is a predicted model, not a curated record.